AUGAGGAAGGAGGAGCGUGCAGCCGUGGAACAGAUGAUGACCGAGGAGCGUGCAGCCAUGGAUCAGAGGUUGAAGCAUUUCCAUGACGAUAUGGACCUAAAAUUGAAGCAGGAGCGCAAGGACCUGGAUCGCGCUAUGCAACUCGAGCGUGGCAGGAUGGAAUUCAAUAUCAUGCAGGCGCGUGCGAACAUGGACCGUAUGUUGCAGCAGGAGCGUAAUGACAUGAAUCACAAGGCCAAGAUGGAGGGGAUCCGAUUGGAAGGGAAUGGGAAUAUGAUGCAAGACCGCGUUCUACAUCUCGAGCGUGGUAAAAUGGGCUUCAAUAACAUGCAGACGCGUGCGGGCAUGGACCUUAACUUACCGAAGGACCGCAAUGAUCUGGAUUACAAGGCCAAGAUGGAGCAGAUCCGCAUGGAAGGAAAUACGAUGUAG
RNAcentral lists this ribosomal RNA (432 nucleotides) under Triticum aestivum (bread wheat). RNAcentral's name for it is "partial small subunit ribosomal RNA". The record is from RNAcentral. Lineage: Eukaryota; Viridiplantae; Streptophyta; Magnoliopsida; Poales; Poaceae.